AGGGCCUGGUGCUGGCUGAAGUGGCCGCGCACGGCCGCCGGUGAUCUGGACGAGCUCCUGCUGGUCGAAGGCCUCGCGUUCCUCGCCGUGUCCUGGGUCCUCGCCUUCGUCUUCGCCUUCAGCCGCGUUCACCUCUUCCCUGGUGCUGGCUGAGGUCGCCGCGCACGCCACCGGUGAUCUGGAGGCCGCAGACCGCGUCGAGGUCAUCAAGCAGAACGAGCUCUUGCAUCGUCGUCAUCCUCAUUCAGCGCUCCAACUCCAACCAGCGGUGCGGGGUGGCUCUUGCGUCGUCAUCCUCCGCCUUCUGCUCGUGCGAGCUCACAGCCUGUCAGUUCGUGGUGACAUGAACUAGGUACCGUGGUUUCUAGCGCCAUUGCAUGUGAGCUGUUUGAUAUAUGUCCUCGCUAGGUCAACAUUGAUUGACUUGCACAAAAUAUAGUAGGAGAGAUCAGGGGAACGCCGCAGUUAAUUUGGUAUGUGAUCGCAGUUAAUUUGGUCAAGUUCAUCUGCUCAUCGGCUUGUUGAGCUGUUAUGCGUCACCUAGAAGUAAUGUAGCUUUCAGAAAGUCAGGCAAGGACAUGGGAAAUGCGUGAACUAUUUUGGGUUUAGCACCCACUGUUUUGUUACUCUCAUUGUCUUAGUAGUGCAGUAGUGCAAAUUAUUGGAUCUUUGCUAGAAUAGAAUAACAUGGAGAGGAUAUUUGGAUCUGUUGCAAAUAUCAGGUAAGUGCAAAUUAUUGCAGUAGUGCAAAUUAUUGUAGUAGUGCAAAUUAAUUAGUGCAGUAGUAAUACAUGUUAGAUAGUGCAGUAGUGCAAAUAUCAGGUAAGUAGUGCAGUAGUAAUACACACAUCCAUGUCCUACAAUCCUAACAUUGAGUCAGAAUGCCAAAAACCUCCAUAUGUAAGGCUGGCAUCAUGAGCAUAGAUAUUCAGAAUUAUGGUAUGGGUAUAAAUGUUAGAUAGGACAUUGACUAUACAUGAACAUGAAUUUGGUUGGUUAUAGCUCUUGAAUAGCACCAAUGAAUCAGCUUGGCGAAUCUUGAACAUCACCAAACUGAAGUCCAGAAAAGAUAACAUUGACAUCAGUAAGAAAAAUUUUAUGCAAAAUAAGCAUUGCUAUGUAAUAAACUGUGGUUAUAAAAACUGCAAGUUGGUAUGAUUUCCAUAAGUCAUAGGUUUCAGUUCAUACAGUUCUGAACAAUCUGAUGAGUGGCAAGUUACCCACCAUCUUAGUACACAUUCAACCAUGAGCCCUCACAUGAGAUACUCAGAAAAUAAUUUAGAAAGCAUUUAAAGAUAUUCCGAAAGCCCUAUAGGAGGAGAGAAUAAAGGAAUACAGGGAAGAGAGCUAGAUGCCAAAUGAGACCUGUCUAUGCCACAAAAACGAGACAGGUUUUGACUGUAAAGCAUCCUUUAUCAAUAUGCUUGAGGAAUCCAUAUUCUUGAUAAGAGGAACAACCUGUGCCACAUGGACUAUUCAUCGAGCCUUGCAGAUGUUCUUCCAUCUGUGGAAUGCUUUAAGAAAAUGCUUUGAUAUUGUUGAAUCAUUUACAUUCAGCUCCUCCCCCUGUUUGUUUGUUGGUACAGCAAAGGAUCUCCUGUUUUUAUUCAUGGCAUAUAAAUUAACACAGUCAUUAUUUAAUCUGAACUUCAUCAGUACCUUGCAAACUUGAAUGUGUAGCAAAGCAGACUUGAUUAAAGAUAUCUGCAGUUUUAUAUUUUUUUAGCACCAAUCUAGGUUGGUGAAAUUCUUUAGACAUGCAGCAACAAUUUUACUUAUGGUGUAGUUACCUAUUUACCUUGCUCCCACAUGCUCCUGUUUAAGUUAGCUUUGACCAUGGAGAUAAUGAAAAUAGAAGUAGUUAACAUAUUAGUAAGUUAAAGGUAGUGUGCAUCCCCACUGUGCAGACCAUGUUAUGACAAUCUCAUAUGUUAGAAGCAUGCAGCCUACUUUUCGUACUAUUAUUGAUUGAAUACUGGUUAAAGGCAAUGUGCUUUGUAAAUUAUUGAUUUGGUCCUUUUUAAGCAAAGUUUUGUUGUGUUCUCAGGAUCGCUACCGUCAGGGCCGCAACAAGGUCAGCCUACUUUUCAUACUAUAACUGUAACAACUUGUGAGGCAUAUACUAACUAUUUGGAAACAGUGAAUGUCUA
Molecule: long non-coding RNA, 2150 nt
Filed under: Sorghum bicolor (sorghum)
Lineage: Eukaryota; Viridiplantae; Streptophyta; Magnoliopsida; Poales; Poaceae
Description: long non-coding RNA (SBIC_LNC008030)
Source: RNAcentral